Molecule: long non-coding RNA, 3690 nt
Organism: Leopardus geoffroyi (Geoffroy's cat)
Lineage: Eukaryota; Metazoa; Chordata; Mammalia; Carnivora; Felidae
Exons: 4
Source: RefSeq, a predicted model, not a curated record
GUAACCAAGUGUCCAGUUUGUUGCCGUUGUUUCCUCCUCGGAGACCUACGUUCAAUGUCAGGUGGUAGGGACAUUAUGCAAUGUGUGAAAUGCUUGGUGAAUUUGUUGUGAUUAACUUAGCUCAUUUUUCUUUUUGGCAGUUUUGGAACUUACUGUGUUACCGAUGACGAAGUCUAGUAUAACAGCCCAGCCAUUGUAAUGUGCAUUUCGUGGUCUAUUAAGUAGAACACAAAACCCAUUUGAGUGAUGUGUGACCCAUCGCCUUGCCUUGCGUGGUAUGUCAGUGUCAGCAAUUGGUAACAAAGUGAGAACACCACCACCCAUUCCAAAGGUUUGUUCCCCACAAUUGUGUACGAGUGGAUGGUUUCAUUAGUGAAGAGGGACACGGGAGUUCUGAGACGCCCCUUCUCGCCACUGAGUGGUGAUACCUCUUAACAUAAUGUUGAAGAAUUCCCCUGUGCUGGUUGACGAAGGCGGGAUGCACCGUGGUUCGUGCUGAGGGGGGACAAUCAGCCAGCCUCUAAAGCCGCAGUCUCACCUUGUGGGUUGAUUCAUGCAGUUCCUGUCUUACAUUCUCUUUCACUCUUUUGGCCUACUUCACACAGGCUGCGUGAUUGGGUCCUCUGGCCCCACCAACCACUUCCAGAAAUUGCUCUGGAAGAGGGAAAGAGGAAGUUUGCCCCAUCCACUCGUGUGGUGAGUUUCCAAGUGACCUAAUUUUCCUGCAGCGGUCGCAAGCUGACCUUCCCCAGGUAAGUCUCUUUGUAGAUUUGUACAAUCAUCACCUCCCUCAGGAUCUGUGAUGGGAACGUCCUGUUCUGGUCAGCCGGUGGGCCCGUAAUGAGAGGAGAGGACCCUGAACCAAUAGUCAAGACCAGCCAUACAGAUGUUGCCGAGACCGUGUCACCCAUCGUGUUUCGUUCACAAUGAGUUUCCAGUAUGUGAGUCUGAAAGACCCUCGGCCCUUUCUUCCUGUCAUCUCUGAGCCUCAGCUUCCACAUCUGCAAAAUGGAAAUGACACCUCGCUCUUGCUCUCAGGCGUGGUGUGAAAAUCAAGCGUGAUCGUCUUUAUGAAGUGCUCGGCACACGGGAGGGCCAGCAACUAUUCUCGGAGGGGCUUGGGCAUCUCUUUGGAAAUGGACCUCUUUAACUCUGCUGUGAUGCCAGGAGGUAGCCCAGCAUCCCAGACCCUGCCUUUCUCUGAGCUGCAUUCUUUCCUGGCUGCCUUGGACGUCUGACAUUGAAGCUGAUGUCACUCCGCGUCAAGUUGGGGCUGGAGGGUGCUUGGUAACUGGCAGUGGCCAAAGGUCUCCUCUCUUUCCUUCUCUGUAUAAAGUUACUUCUUUUCUGGGCAGGGGUUAAUUUGGUGGAAAUCAGGUGAAGACUUUGACGGUUGGGUGUGAGAGUGUUAAGCAUAAAGACGAAUGGCUCUAAGGUGCAUUCAAAGACCCUUGUGACCUCUAGAGUCAGAAGCACCUCUGGUUCCUCUGUUGCUUUGUUCGCACCAGUUUUAUCCAGAAGGUGGCAUCGCAGAGCCUGAUGUGCACUCCCCAAAGUCCAAAGGAUCCACAUUUCUUUGUGGUUAGACACUAACGUAUGUAGCCUUUACACAGCACGUUGACAUUUCAAAGACUUUUCAUUUAUCCCUAUACUUGGUUCAGUGACUUUCAAGCCGUGGGAGAUGGGGGUCAUUACGACUUCCUACCCAGUGAAAACCUGAGACCUGAGGUCCUUAGAAAACUCUGUGCCCCAACACACAUUCUUUCCCCGGGCGGUAGGUACAAAAGUGAACAAGAAUGGCUUGUUUGCGUGUCAAAAGCAGUUGUACAACUUAAUCACCGUGAUGCCUCCUCCUUCUUCCACACACACUUGUGCCUGCCCACUGCCCAUCAAAGUCAUGUUGGGUCAUUUCACUGGGGGGAGGGAUGGGGAAGACGUAGAUGAUUGUUUUAUGGGUAAGUCUUCUGAGUACCGGCACUUAACAAAAUAAGUCCCAAGGUUGACGCUUCCAAAAGGGUGACUGUUUAACUGGUGGCAUCUCAAACUCAGGACCCUGAGGGAAAGACAAGGUGACCCUCCCAAUUUAAGGUGGGGUCUGGCUUGGUGGCUCUUUCCCAGGAGUCCACUCUGGAGCCUGCCACAUCAGUUGCGUUAUGAGGCCUGUACUCAAUGAAUGUGUACUUCCCAGCGGGGAUGUUAAUGAGUUAUGAAUUCUUGGUGUGAAGUAUUUCGUGUCAAACCCUGUUAGCCCGAAGUGGAUUUUCAUUCCUCUUAUGUGUGUCGGUGACAGAAAGGGAAUGGAAUCGAACACCUGAGGAUAAGGCCUUUGCACUUGUGCUGCCGAAGGAGCACGAGGUAAGGCCUUUGAAAUGGAGUGUAUUCGUUGUUACACUGGUUCCCUGUUACAGGCGCACGUUUCCACGGAUGAGUAUUAUUUCAUUGGAUACAUGUACCACAUUUUCCUUAUCCAUUUAUACUGUUGAUGGAUGCUCACAAGUCUCUCAUGUGUCACAUGUUGAAAACAAUACUGUAGUGAGUAUAUGGGAUGAGUAUGUGUCCUUGACGUAGUGGCUUCCUGUCCUUAUAUAAACGCCCAGAUACGGGAUUGAUACAUCAUAUAGGAGCUCAAUUAUUAAUUUUUUGAGAGGCCAUCCUACUGUUCUCCGUAGUGCUACCCAAUGUGGGCCUGUCAGGUUGUCAGACUCCCUUUACAAAGAAGCUGAAAGAGUACGUCUACCAUGCAGAGCAAUGGCCUCCUAGGAAUCACUGGGAAUCCUCAUGUUGUGUAUGGGAAUGUGGUUGGAAUUGUAUCCACACGUUUCCAUCAAAACUUCCUGCACUGUUCUGGUGAUCAUACCUUGCCCGUGGCAAGAAGACGAGCGGCAUGAAGGUGCUGUCAAUGAACGUUCCAUGAAGCAGGGGACGUUUAGAUUGUCACGGACAUGAGCUGAUGAGCUGGAUGUCCGGGAGCCUCCUGGGUCAGGUGUGCAGGGUGCAGGAUUCAUCCUUGGGCCUUUGUUUCUAUACGUCAUUUCAGGCCAUUCAUUUCUCACGAGUAGUGAAACCUAGGGUCCAGAAGGGAUAUAUGAGUAAACUCUGGGAGUGUAAAGAAACUUGCAAGGGGGUGGGUAGAGUGUCUUAGUGUGAAAGUGUGGUAGGCCUUAUGGGUUCAGGGGCAAUGGCAGCAUCUGGCGACUGGGCAGAUAUUAGUUCCCAGGGAAGAAAUGGGUCAUGUCUGGUUCUCUGGCCUCCAAUGCAAAGAAGCUAAAAGAGUUUGUCUACCAUACAGAGCAAUGGCCUCCUAGGAAUCGUUAGGAAUCCUCAUUUUGUGGAUGGGAAUGUGGUUGGAAUUGUAUCCACACGUUUCCAUCGAAACUUCCUGCACUCUUCUGCUGACCAUACUCUGCACAUGGCGGGAAGAGGAGCGGUAUGUGGGUGCUGUCAAUGAACCUUCCAUGAGGCAGGGGACGUUUAGAUUGUCACGGACAUGAGCUGAUGAGCUGGAUGUCCGGGAGCCUCCUGGGUCAGGUGUGCAGGGUGCAGGAUUCAUCCUUGGGCCUUUGUUUCUAUACGUCAUUUCAGGCCAUUCAUUUCUCACGAGUAGUGAAACCUAGGGUCCAGAAGGGAUAUAUGAGAAAACUCUGGGAGUGUAAAGAAACUUGCAAGGGGGUGGGUAGAGCCUCGUGUAGA